CCCGCUGAACUUAAGCAUAUCAAUAAGCGGAGGAAAAGAAACUAACAAGGAUUCCCCUAGUAACUGCGAGUGAAGCGGGAAGAGCUCAAAUUUAAAAUCUGGCAUGCCUCUGGCUGUCCGAGUUGUAGUCUGGAGAAGUGUUUUCCGUGUUGGACCGUGUAUAAGUCUCUUGGAACAGGGCGUCAUAGAGGGUGAGAAUCCCGUCUUUGACACGGACUACCAAUGCUUUGUGAUGCGCUCUCAAAGAGUCGAGUUGUUUGGGAAUGCAGCUCGAAAUGGGUGGUAAAUUCCAUCUAAAGCUAAAUAUAGGCGAGAGACCGAUAGCGAACAAGUACCGUGAGGGAAAGAUGAAAAGCACUUUGGAAAGAGAGUUAAACAGUACGUGAAAUUGCUGAAAGGGAAACGCUUGAAGUCAGUCAUGUCUGCCAGGACUCAGCCUUGCUUCUGCUUGGUGUACUUUCUGGUCGGAUGGGCCAACAUCAAUUUUGACCGUUGGAGAAAGGCCUUGGGAAUGUGGCACCUUCGGGUGUGUUAUAGCCCUUUGUUGUAUACAACGGUUGGGAUUGAGGACUGCAGCACGCCUUUAUGGCCGGGGUUCGCCUACGUACGUGCUUAGGAUGUUGGCAUAAUGGCUUUAAGCGACCCGUCUUGAAACACGG
RNAcentral lists this ribosomal RNA (659 nucleotides) under uncultured fungus. RNAcentral's name for it is "eukaryotic LSU rRNA". It matches the Rfam family "Eukaryotic large subunit ribosomal RNA", at positions 24 to 664 of the family's 3401-position model. The record is from RNAcentral. Lineage: Eukaryota; Fungi.